GACGAACGCUGGCGGCGUGCUUAACACAUGCAAGUCGAACGGCAAGGCCCUGCUUUUGUGGGGUGCUCGAGUGCCGAACGCGUGAGUAACACGUGAGUAACCUGCCCUUGACUUUGGGAUAACUUCAGGAAACUGGGGCUAAUACCGGAUAGGAGCUCCUGCUGCAUUGUGGGGGUUGGAAAGUUUCGGCGGGUGGGGAUGGACUCGCGGCUUAUCAGCUUGUUGGUGGGGUAGUGGCUUACCAAGGCUUUGACGGGUAGCCGGCCUGAGAGGGUGACCGGCCACAUUGGGACUGAGAUACGGCCCAGACUCCUACGGGAGGCAGCAGUGGGGAAUAUUGCACAAUGGGAGGAAGCCUGAUGCAGAAACGCCGCGUGCGGGAUGACGGCCUUCGGGUUGUAAAACGCUUUCGCCUGUGACGAAGCGUGAGUGACGGUAAUGGGUAAAGAAGCACCGGCUAACUACGUG
This 468-nucleotide ribosomal RNA is filed under the name uncultured bacterium. RNAcentral's name for it is "partial 16S ribosomal RNA". It matches the Rfam family "Bacterial small subunit ribosomal RNA", at positions 28 to 507 of the family's 1533-position model. The record is from RNAcentral.